RNAcentral lists this ribosomal RNA (1704 nucleotides) under bioreactor sludge metagenome. Its description in RNAcentral is "bacterial LSU rRNA". It matches the Rfam family "Bacterial large subunit ribosomal RNA", at positions 1105 to 2925 of the family's 2925-position model. The record is from RNAcentral.
CUUAGAAGCAGCCAUCAUAUAUUGAAAGCGUAAAAAAUCAUUGGAUAAAGAUUGUGGAGUGCCCAUAAUGUGCGGGGCUUAACCUACUUGCCGAAACACCAAAUUUCUUAAUUGAAAUGGUAGCGGAGUUUUCUGUAAAGCGAAUUAAUCGAAUAAAAGAAAUAAACCGAAAGGUGGACUCAGAAAUAAGAAUGUUGGUAUGAGUAACGUUAAACUUUUUGUCGCCUAGAACCUAAGGUUUCCGACGUUCAGGUAUUCUGCGGACGGGUUAUGCGGUAGUUUAGGUCUACUCUAUGAAAAUAGGGGCUGAUAUUGUCCUUAACAAUAAGGAAUGCAUUUUGCUGGGUCGUAUGACUAUAACUAUAAAGCUUAACGAGAGUGGCUUAUUGGGUAAGAUCAUACCUAGAAAUCCUCAAAAUGUGAAUAUGUACCGUACUGAAAACCGACACUGGUAGGUAAGUGGAGAACACUGUGGCGCUAUGGAAGAAGUAUAUUGAAGGAACUAGGCAAAAUGACCCCGUAACUUCGGGAUAAGGGGGUAACUGCUUGCCUCUGUAAAGAGGGUAGUAGUUGAACGUGAAAAUGGAGGGGGGCGACUGUUUACUAAAAACACAGGACUCUGCUAACUUGUAAGAGGAUGUAUUGGGUCCGAGGCCUGCCCGGUGCCAGCAAGCUAACAGGAGGUGUUAACGCACUGAAUUUAACCCCUGGCAAACGGCGGCUGUAACUAUAACGGUCCUAAGGUAGCGAAAUUCCUUGUCGGGUAAGUUCCGACGUGCAUGAAUGGCAUAACGACUUUCCUGCUGUCUCCAGUAUAUGUUCAGUGAAAUUGAAUUUUUUGUGAAGAUGCGAAAUAGUGACGGCCAGACGGAAAGACCCCAUGCACCUUUACUGUGAUAAUACAUCAUCCCAUACGGCUUUUUGUGUAGAAUAGGUAGUAAGUUUUGUCUUUUUGGCGCUAGCUGGGAAGUUUACUGAAAUGUGUAAUACUACCCUGAAUGCUGUAUGGGAUUUAUCCAACCCCUUAAGAGGGGGGAAACCGUGUAUUGGAGACAGUUUGACUGGGGCGGUCGCCUCCAAAAGCGUAUCGGGGGUGUGCAAAAGGUAAACUCAAAACGGAUAUCUCUGUUUGUAGAGCAUAAUAGUAAAUGUUUGCUUGACUGCGUAACGGAUACGUUUAGCAGGGAGACUCAAUGUCUCGGCUAUAGUGACCCGAUAGCUCUGUGUGGAAAGGCUAUCGCUUAACAAAUAAAAGGUACGCUGGGGAUAACAGGCUGAUGCCUCUUGAGAGUUCUUAUCGACGGAGUCGUUUGGCACCUCGAUGUCGGCUCAUCACAUCCUGGAGCUGAAGAAGGUUCCAAGGGUUCGGCUGUUCGCCGAUUAAAGUGGUACGUGAGCUGGGUUUAAAACGUUGUAAAACAGUUUGGUCCCUAUCUACCGUCACAUUAAAAAACCUAACGGGGGCGUUUAUUCUAGUACGAAAGGACCGGAGAGAGUUAACCUAUUGUUAUACGGCUGUCGAAUACGGCAAAGUCGCGACGCUAUGUUAAGCAGGCUAUAAUCAUUGAAUGUAUCUAAAUGAGAAAAGCCAACCCUGCGGUUUAUAAUAAAAUAGCUAGUGUGGUUAUAGAGGAUAACCUUAAUAGACCCGGAUCUAAUUCUAUAAUAGGUGUAGUAUGUGCGAAAGCUGGAAAGCCGGAGAUG